GGAUUGGUGCCUUCGGGACUUACAUACAGGUGCUGCAUGGCUGUCGUCAGCUCGUGUCKUGAGAUGUUGGGUUAAGUCCCGCAACGAGCGCAACCCUUUUCCUUAUUUGCCAGCGAGUAAUGUCGGGAACUUUAAGGAUACUGCCAGUGACAAACUGGAGGAAGGCGGGGACGACGUCAAGUCAUCAUGGCCCUUACGGCCAGGGCUACACACGUGCUACAAUGGUCGGUACAAAGGGUUGCUACCUAGCGAUAGGAUGCUAAUCUCAAAAAGCCGAUCGUAGUCCGGAUUGGAGUCUGCAACUCGACUCCAUGAAGUCGGAAUCGCUAGUAAUCGCGGAUCAGAAUGCCGCGGUGAAUACGUUCCCGGGUCUUGUACACA
RNAcentral lists this ribosomal RNA (381 nucleotides) under Acinetobacter sp. RNAcentral describes it as "bacterial SSU rRNA". Lineage: Bacteria; Pseudomonadati; Pseudomonadota; Gammaproteobacteria; Moraxellales; Moraxellaceae. The record is from RNAcentral.